Molecule: ribosomal RNA, 229 nt
Filed under: uncultured bacterium
Lineage: Bacteria
Description: partial 16S ribosomal RNA
Rfam family: Bacterial small subunit ribosomal RNA
Source: RNAcentral
CUCGUAGGCGGUUAGUCACGUCGGAUGUGAAAACCCAGUGCUUAACACUGGGCCUGCAUUCGAUACGGGCUGACUAGAGUGUUGUAGGGGAGACUGGAACUCCUGGUGUAGCGGUGAAAUGCGCAGAUAUCAGGAAGAACACCGGUGGCGAAGGCGGGUCUCUGGGCAACUACUGACGCUGAGGAGCGAAAGCGUGGGGAGCAAACAGGAUUAGAUACCCUGGUAGUCC